This 72-nucleotide transfer RNA is filed under the name Camelus bactrianus (Bactrian camel). It matches the Rfam family "tRNA". Rfam says of the family: Transfer RNA (tRNA) molecules are approximately 80 nucleotides in length. Their secondary structure includes four short double-helical elements and three loops (D, anti-codon, and T loops). Further hydrogen bonds mediate the characteristic L-shaped molecular structure. tRNAs have two regions of fundamental functional importance: the anti-codon, which is responsible for specific mRNA codon recognition, and the 3' end, to which the tRNAs corresponding amino acid is attached (by aminoacyl-tRNA synthetases). tRNAs cope with the degeneracy of the genetic code in two manners: having more than one tRNA (with a specific anti-codon) for a particular amino acid; and 'wobble' base-pairing, i.e. permitting non-standard base-pairing at the 3rd anti-codon position. RNAcentral also lists the same sequence under 2 other names. Lineage: Eukaryota; Metazoa; Chordata; Mammalia; Artiodactyla; Camelidae. The record is from Rfam by way of RNAcentral.
GAGGGUAGAGCUCAGUAGUAGAGUGAGUGUUUAGCACGCAUGAGGUCCUGGGUUCGAUCCCCUGUACCCCCA